Long non-coding RNA from Olea europaea var. sylvestris, 477 nucleotides. RefSeq lists it as uncharacterized. NCBI's taxonomy places the organism in Eukaryota, Viridiplantae, Streptophyta, Magnoliopsida, Lamiales, Oleaceae. The record is from RefSeq and is a predicted model, not a curated record. The transcript has 2 exons.
AACGUAUUUAUUCAUUUAUUUCCUGGUGGAAUUUCUAUCAUUCUCAUUGACGUCGCCCUCCAUAAACACAGAGUAAACGCGAAAACACACACAGCGAAUUCAAUAAUCUAGGGUUUUUAAUGGCCAAUCCAGUUACUUCAGGAUCGGGAAUCUUCAAGUUCCUCAGGCCCAGUAUGCGCCCUCAGGCCACGGACAUCCAGGCUGCUGCCCUGUGGGGUGUAACCGCCACCACCUCAGCCUUGUGGAUCAUCCAGCCUUUUGAUUGGUUGAAAAAGACACUUUUUGAGAGAUCCAACUCCGAAGAGAAGUGAAUGGAAAUGUGAAAUCUUACUGGUAACCUUUUUGAGAUUAUUAUUACCGAUUUGAACUUUGAGGAGGAUUCAGUUGAAUUAUACCAUUUUGUUUCAUGUUUUCCCAUGAAAAACCUCUACUUCAGUUUUUGGAUUAAUUUAGUAAAAAGCAUGGAUUCUCUCUCUC